UGUCUUCUUAACAAAAGCCGGAAAAGGACACUCUCUAAAUUUGGUUUAUCUUCCAUUACAAGCUUAUCUAAACGCCUGACUCAGAUUCCUAUUCACUAUAUAACUUCUGUGAUUUCUUACUUUCUUGAGAAUUACAAUAGUUUGGUUAUAGUUUCCGUUCCUAAAGGCUGGUUCGGGGAGGCUGAAUCAACAACUGGUAAAUAAAGGACUAUUUAUUAACUUAUAAUGUUCUUUUAAACUUCACUCAAAUACAACUGUGUAGUUUAUAGCUUCUGUGAUUUCUUACUUUCUUGAGAAUUACAAUAGUUUGGUUAUAGUUUCCGUUCCUAAAGGCUGGUUCGGGGAGGCUGAAUCAACAACUGCCUAGGAAUCAAUUUGUGGGAAACAUCGCUUAAUAAGAUGUCGCAAGUAAACACCUCAUAUCACCUGGAUGAAAAUUAGUCAGCAGUUUUAAAUAUUGUCAAUCAAUCGAAUCAGGUGCUCGUAAAGUGUCAAAAUGGGUUCACAUGAUGUAGCAAGAGUACAGAAUUGACUGAUGAACUUAGUAGGUAAUGCUGCCAGGAAGCAGGUGAUGUCGGAAAUUCCCCAGAGGGACACCAUGUAUUUCUCAGUUGCCAGUAAUAACAUUUUCGCACUCAAUCCCAAUAAGCGCGGCUUAAACUUCGGAACCCUUUCGUUGACUCAAUUACGAUGCCUUGUUUCAACAUGUAUGAACUAGGUUCUUGAACCUCAUUGUCAAUUAAAAAAAGCUCUUCAGUUAAAUUAACAAAAUUAGAAGAUCAAAAUAUGAGACAGACUCAUUCAAGAAUAAUUUCUCGACGACAUGCAUUCUGCAUGUUUCUAACACUUGUUUAAUUUUUAAAGGCCUAAUAAGGAAGGUGAAUUGUGUUUUGUGAGGCAUUAAGGGCUUAACAUUCACUUAGCAUGAUCAAUUUUACUUACCGGUAAUUAUGUUUCCACAACAAUUACAUGGAUGCAUAUAAUGAAUGCAAAGUCAAUGAUGUAAAUAAUUAAGGAGCUUUCUUACUAAAUGCAGAAAUAAUAAGAAGGAUCAAAGUUCAUGUUAUAAACGAGACUGAGAAUAGGCCAAUAAAUAA
Anneissia japonica is the source of this 1097-nucleotide long non-coding RNA. RefSeq lists it as uncharacterized. The transcript has 3 exons. The record is from RefSeq and is a predicted model, not a curated record. Lineage: Eukaryota; Metazoa; Echinodermata; Crinoidea; Comatulida; Comatulidae.